This 280-nucleotide long non-coding RNA is filed under the name Pan troglodytes (chimpanzee). RNAcentral's name for it is "long non-coding RNA NONPTRT011154". Lineage: Eukaryota; Metazoa; Chordata; Mammalia; Primates; Hominidae. The record is from RNAcentral.
UAAUCAACUAAUUUGCUGUUGAUUAACAUUGAGUUGUUUCCAAUCUUUUGCUAUUACAGAUUGUGUUACAGAGAAUAGUCUUGUGCAUAUGUUAUUUGGUAAUGUUUGACCAAUUAUUUUGUUUUACACUGGGGUUGAAUAGCUGUGGCCUAACCUUGGGCUUUUUGAUAGGUUGAUUUGGGGCAUUUUUUUUUCCUACCAGUGGAAUUUUUUUUUAAAGGCAGUAGUUGUAUUAUGCAGGAGAAAGUUUUUUAUUGGUAUUGUGCAAGAUGAGAUCAGU